ACAUGCAAGUCGAACGCGAAAGCCCCGCAAGGGGUUAGUAGUGUGGCAAACGGGUGAGUAACACGUGGGUGACCUGCCUUCGAGUGGGGGAUAACGUCCCGAAAGGGACGCUAAUACCGCAUGACAUCCUGCUCUUGGACGAGCGGAGAUCAAAGUUAGGGAUCGCAAGACCUGGCGCUUGAAGAGGGGCCCACGCCUGAUUAGCUAGUUGGUGGGGUAACGGCCUACCAAGGCAACGAUCAGUAGCCGGCCUGAGAGGGCGGACGGCCACACUGGGACUGAGACACGGCCCAGACUCCUACGGGAGGCAGCAGUGGGGAAUUGUUCGCAAUGGGCGCAAGCCUGACGACGCAACGCCGCGUGGAGGACGAAGAUCUUCGGGUCGUAAACUCCUGUCGAGCGGGAAGAACGCUUCCCGGGUGAAUAAUCCGGGGAAUUGACGGUACCGCUAAAGGAAGCCCCGG
RNAcentral lists this ribosomal RNA (464 nucleotides) under uncultured Acidobacteriota bacterium. RNAcentral describes it as "bacterial SSU rRNA". It matches the Rfam family "Bacterial small subunit ribosomal RNA", at positions 53 to 496 of the family's 1533-position model. The record is from RNAcentral. Lineage: Bacteria; Pseudomonadati; Acidobacteriota.